RNAcentral lists this ribosomal RNA (449 nucleotides) under uncultured bacterium. RNAcentral's name for it is "partial 16S ribosomal RNA". It matches the Rfam family "Bacterial small subunit ribosomal RNA", at positions 29 to 523 of the family's 1533-position model. The record is from RNAcentral.
AGCGAACGCUGGCGGCAGGCCUAACUCAUGCAAGUCGAACGGACCCUUCGGGGUUAGUGGCGGACGGGUGAGUAACACGUGGGAACGUGCCUUUGGGUUCGGAAUAGCUCCUGGAAACGGGUGGUAAUGCCGAAUGUGCCCUUCGGGGGAAAGGUUUAUCGCCUUUAGAGCGGCCCGCGUCUGAUUAGCUAGUUGGUGAGGUAAUGGCUCACCAAGGCGACGAUCAGUAGCUGGUCUGAGAGGAUGACCAGCCACACUGGGACUGAGACACGGCCCAGACUCCUACGGGAGGCAGCAGUGGGGAAUCUUGCGCAAUGGGCGAAAGCCUGACGCAGCCAUGCCGCGUGAAUGAUGAAGGUCUUAGGAUUGUAAAAUUCUUUCACCGGGGACGAUAAUGACGGUACCCGGAGAAGAAGCCCCGGCUAACUUCGUGCCAGCCGCCGCCGUAA